AACGUUAUUGACAUACAAACGUAUGUCUCCCCGUGCCAAUAGGAAGCUGAAAAUGUCGACCGAGACCAAAAAAGAGAAACCAAGUAGCCAGCUUAAUUUAUAAUCAUUAGCUGGGCUUGGAUUUAGGGCUUGUAGCUCAGCUGGUAGAGCGCCGCCUUUGCAAGGCGGAGGCCCUGGGUCCGAAUCCCAGCAAGUCCAUUUGAACCAAUGCACACAUUGAGGCCGACUCGAUGUGGAAGGGUGGAGGUCCGAUCUGUGCAGCAGGUCGGUCCAAAGACACCAUGCAUAAGCUUUGCGACCAGACGCUCACUGAGUUUAGUGGGGCAUA
This 328-nucleotide transfer RNA is filed under the name uncultured archaeon. RNAcentral describes it as "16S-23S ribosomal RNA intergenic spacer". The stretch from base 126 to 198 matches the Rfam family "tRNA". The record is from RNAcentral.